This 172-nucleotide ribosomal RNA is filed under the name uncultured Clostridium sp. Its description in RNAcentral is "partial 16S ribosomal RNA". It matches the Rfam family "Bacterial small subunit ribosomal RNA", at positions 335 to 524 of the family's 1533-position model. The record is from RNAcentral. Lineage: Bacteria; Bacillati; Bacillota; Clostridia; Eubacteriales; Clostridiaceae.
ACUCCUACGGGAGGCAGCAGUGGGGAAUAUUGCACAAUGGGGGAAACCCUGAUGCAGCAACGCCGCGUGAGUGAUGACGGUCUUCGGAUUGUAAAGCUCUGUCUCCAGGGACGAUAAUGACGGUACCUGAGGAGGAAGCCACGGCUAACUACGUGCCAGCAGCCGCGGUAAU